AGUGCUGGAGUGGAAAAGAUAAAGAUGGGUUGAUGCUGUUAGCCGGUUGACAGUGAGAGAGGGGUGCAGAGCUGUGCUGAUGAAGGACAGAUGGAGGAAGAUUGGACUGUGAUGGGUGAAGAUGGAAAGCAGAAAAAAAGAGAAACUCUUCUCACUAGAUGGGCAGGAAAAUGAGGCUGUGAUACUAAGGGUUGAGGGUUGUGAUAGGCUGAAUGUGAUACUGAGGGUUGAGGGUUGUGAUAGGCUGAAUGUGAUUCUGAGGGUUGUGAUAGGCUGAAUGUGAUUCUGAGGGUUGUGAUAGGCUGAAUGUGAUACUGAGGGUUGAGGGUUGUGAUAGGCUGAAUGUGAUACUGAGGGUUAAGGGUUGUGAUAGGCUGAAUGUGAUACUGAGGGUUUAGGGUUGUGAUAGGCUGAAUGUGAUUCUGAGGGUUGAGGGUUGUGAUAGGCUGAAUGUGAUUCUGAGGGUUGAGGGUUGUGAUAGGCUGAAUGUGAUACUGAGGGUUGUGAUAGGCUGAAUGUGAUACUGAGGGUUUAGGGUUGUGAUAGGCUGAAUGUGAUUCUGAGGGUUGAGGGUUGUGAUAGGCUGAAUGUGAUUCUGAGGGUUGAGGGUUGUGAUAGGCUGAAUGUGAUACUGAGGGUUGUGAUAGGCUGAAUGUGAUACUGAGGGUUGUGAUAGGCUGAAUGUGAUUCUGAGGGUUUAUAGACUCUGGAUGACAUUUAGAAUCUGUUGUUGUGAAUGAGCUCAUUUAUCUCUCAUAGGUAGCGUGUCACUUCUAACGGCAUAAUGUGUAUGCAUGGGCACGAGCGGGAGAGAAUAGCUUUCCUGUGAACUGUUUUGAAAUCCAUCAACUGGCGUCUUCGUGGUUCCUUCACUGUGGAUUGUUUUCCUGUGUGGCUCUUCAUUCACGAUGGACCACACUGCUUGCAGUGCCCAUCUGCUCGUCUGCGAAUCUAAUGUGGCGUUGCACCAUAGCAACACGUUGUAUUCAUAAUUGCUGCUUUAAUAGCCUUUUAAUUGCUUUUGUUUAUUGUUAUGCCGUCAUGCCU
Molecule: long non-coding RNA, 1047 nt
Organism: Clupea harengus (Atlantic herring)
Lineage: Eukaryota; Metazoa; Chordata; Actinopteri; Clupeiformes; Clupeidae
Source: Ensembl